This 404-nucleotide ribosomal RNA is filed under the name Pseudomonas sp. Its description in RNAcentral is "partial 16S ribosomal RNA". It matches the Rfam family "Bacterial small subunit ribosomal RNA", at positions 355 to 776 of the family's 1533-position model. RNAcentral also lists the same sequence under 3 other names. The record is from RNAcentral. Lineage: Bacteria; Pseudomonadati; Pseudomonadota; Gammaproteobacteria; Pseudomonadales; Pseudomonadaceae.
UGGGGAAUAUUGGACAAUGGGCGCAAGCCUGAUCCAGCCAUGCCGCGUGAGUGAUGAAGGCCCUAGGGUUGUAAAGCUCUUUCACCGGUGAAGAUAAUGACGGUAACCGGAGAAGAAGCCCCGGCUAACUUCGUGCCAGCAGCCGCGGUAAUACGAAGGGGGCUAGCGUUGUUCGGAUUUACUGGGCGUAAAGCGCGCGUAGGCGGACUUUUAAGUCAGGGGUGAAAUCCCGGGGCUCAACCCCGGAACUGCCUUUGAUACUGGAAGUCUUGAGUAUGGUAGAGGUGAGUGGAAUUCCGAGUGUAGAGGUGAAAUUCGUAGAUAUUCGGAGGAACACCAGUGGCGAAGGCGGCUCACUGGACCAUUACUGACGCUGAGGUGCGAAAGCGUGGGGAGCAAACAGG